AGUGAACGCUGGCGGUAUGCCUAACACAUGCAAGUCGAACUGCAGCACAGUAAGAGCUUGCUCUUACUGGUUGCGAGUUGAGGACGGGUGAGGAAUACAUCGGAAUCUACUUUUUCGUGGGGGAUAACGUAGGGAAACUUACGCUAAUACCGCAUACGACCUACGGGUGAAAGCAGCGGAUCUUCGGACCUUUCGCGAUUGAAUGAUCCGAUGUCGGAUUAGCUAGUUGGCGGGGUAAAGGCGCACCAAGGCGAGGAUCCGUAGCUGGUCUGAGAGGAUGAUCAGCCACACUGGAACUGAGACACGCUACAGACUCCUACGGGAGGCAGCAGUGGGGAAUAUUGGACAAUGGGCGCAAGCCUGAUCAAGCCAUACCGCGUGGGUGAAGAAGGCAUUCGGGUUGUAAAGCCCUUUUGUUGGGAAAGAAAAGCAGCAGGUUAAUACCCCGCUGUUCUGACGGUACCCAAAGAAUAAGCACCGGCUAAAUUCGUG
RNAcentral lists this ribosomal RNA (492 nucleotides) under uncultured bacterium. Its description in RNAcentral is "partial 16S ribosomal RNA". It matches the Rfam family "Bacterial small subunit ribosomal RNA", at positions 29 to 507 of the family's 1533-position model. The record is from RNAcentral.